UCCCUGGUGGCUCAGAUGGUAAAGCGUCUGCCUGAAAUGCGGGAGACCCGGGUUCGAUCCCUGGGUCGGGAA
This 72-nucleotide transfer RNA is filed under the name Bos taurus (domestic cattle). It matches the Rfam family "tRNA". Rfam says of the family: Transfer RNA (tRNA) molecules are approximately 80 nucleotides in length. Their secondary structure includes four short double-helical elements and three loops (D, anti-codon, and T loops). Further hydrogen bonds mediate the characteristic L-shaped molecular structure. tRNAs have two regions of fundamental functional importance: the anti-codon, which is responsible for specific mRNA codon recognition, and the 3' end, to which the tRNAs corresponding amino acid is attached (by aminoacyl-tRNA synthetases). tRNAs cope with the degeneracy of the genetic code in two manners: having more than one tRNA (with a specific anti-codon) for a particular amino acid; and 'wobble' base-pairing, i.e. permitting non-standard base-pairing at the 3rd anti-codon position. The record is from Rfam by way of RNAcentral. RNAcentral also lists the same sequence under 2 other names. Lineage: Eukaryota; Metazoa; Chordata; Mammalia; Artiodactyla; Bovidae.